This 29-nucleotide non-coding RNA is filed under the name Rattus norvegicus (Norway rat). The record is from RNAcentral. Lineage: Eukaryota; Metazoa; Chordata; Mammalia; Rodentia; Muridae.
UGAACUCAACAGGGAGUUGGAGCAUUGAA